Molecule: ribosomal RNA, 397 nt
Filed under: uncultured bacterium
Lineage: Bacteria
Description: partial 16S ribosomal RNA
Rfam family: Bacterial small subunit ribosomal RNA
Source: RNAcentral
AUACGUAGGGGGCGAGCGUUGUCCGGAAUGAUUGGGCGUAAAGGGCGCGUAGGCGGCCCGGUAAGUCUGGAGUGAAAGUCCUGUUUUUAAGAUGGGAAUUGCUUUGGAUACUGUCGGGCUUGAGUGCAGGAGAGGUAAGUGGAAUUCCCAGUGUAGCGGUGAAAUGCGUAGAGAUUGGGAGGAACACCAGUGGCGAAGGCGACUUACUGGACUGUAACUGACGCUGAGGCGCGAAAGUGUGGGGAGCAAACAGGAUUAGAUACCCUGGUAGUCCACGCUGUAAACGAUGAAUGCUAGGUGUAGGAGGUAUCGACCCCUUCUGUGCCGCAGUUAACGCAAUAAGCAUUCCGCCUGGGGGGUACGGUCGCAAGAUUAAAACUCAAAUGAAUUGACGGGG